UGAAGCCACAAAGAGAAAUUAACCUGAAUUUAGAGUAAGACUCGUGCAUAAUCAUGUGCUCAGGCUUGGUUUCAGCUUCCAAAUAAUUUUCUCCUAACCAUGUACAGGUACAUCACGGAGCAAACUAACAGCUGGAUUCCACCAGCCACGGUUGCGACACGGUUUUGUUCUGUCCUCUGCGCGGAUUCAAAUCCCACUUGGAAGGAUUUCAGGAGCGAAGCCAGACGUUACUGACUUGGAUAUUCUGAUCAUUCAUGGUGCUUUUGUUAAUUAAGCUACUUAGUGAAAAGAUUCUGUGUCGGACUUCCUGCUGGGUUCAUCUGCUUUGUGCUACUUGAUGCAGCUUAUGCAAAAUAGACUCGCGGAGAGCUGCUUCUGGAACUCGUCUGGUGGAAUCACAAGCAAUCACAGCUGAACAUGACACCGCCACACCCGGUGGGAUCCAGGCUUCAUGAUGUGGAAUACAAGAAGUUUGAAACAAUAAAUAAGAAAACUGAUCUGUCUGAAAA
Micropterus salmoides (largemouth bass) is the source of this 509-nucleotide long non-coding RNA. RefSeq lists it as uncharacterized. The transcript has 2 exons. The record is from RefSeq and is a predicted model, not a curated record. Lineage: Eukaryota; Metazoa; Chordata; Actinopteri; Centrarchiformes; Centrarchidae.